GAUGAACGCUGGCGGCGUGCCUAAUACAUGCAAGUCGAGCGAACAGACGAGGAGCUUGCUCCUCUGACGUUAGCGGCGGACGGGUGAGUAACACGUGGAUAACCUACCUAUAAGACUGGGAUAACUUCGGGAAACCGGAGCUAAUACCGGAUAAUAUAUUGAACCGCAUGGUUCAAUAGUGAAAGACGGUUUUGCUGUCACUUAUAGAUGGAUCCGCGCCGCAUUAGCUAGUUGGUAAGGUAACGGCUUACCAAGGCAACGAUGCGUAGCCGACCUGAGAGGGUGAUCGGCCACACUGGAACUGAGACACGGUCCAGACUCCUACGGGAGGCAGCAGUAGGGAAUCUUCCGCAAUGGGCGAAAGCCUGACGGAGCAACGCCGCGUGAGUGAUGAAGGUCUUCGGAUCGUAAAACUCUGUUAUUAGGGAACAACAAAUGUGUAAGUAACUAUGCACGUCUUGACGGUACCUAAUCAGAAAGCCACGGCUAACUACGUG
RNAcentral lists this ribosomal RNA (497 nucleotides) under uncultured bacterium. RNAcentral describes it as "partial 16S ribosomal RNA". It matches the Rfam family "Bacterial small subunit ribosomal RNA", at positions 28 to 507 of the family's 1533-position model. The record is from RNAcentral.